CGUGCAGGCGGGUUGGUAAGUCAGAUGUGAAAGCCCUGGGCUUAACCCAGGAAGUGCAUUUGAAACUGCCAUCCUUGAGUAUGGGAGAGGAGAGUGGAAUUCCCAAUGUAGAGGUGAAAUUCGUAGAUAUUGGGAGAACACCCGUGGCGAAGGCGACUCUCUGGACCAAUACUGACGCUGAGACGCGAAAGCGUGGGGAGCAAACA
This 206-nucleotide ribosomal RNA is filed under the name uncultured bacterium. RNAcentral's name for it is "partial 16S ribosomal RNA". It matches the Rfam family "Bacterial small subunit ribosomal RNA", at positions 568 to 774 of the family's 1533-position model. The record is from RNAcentral.